UAUUAGUUUGGCUCUGUCUAAUAUGAAUGAUGUAAGCUAUAGAAUACACAUGGUUUCAGUUGAAAGAGGCGAAAGGAAAAAUAAUAAGUUUUAUAUAAAACAUGUAAGGAUUAAAAUUUUCCCGGGUAUUAUAGUUAUAUAUUAUGUCGCGAUGUCCGCUAACACCAGUGUUGAAGAUUAAAGCAAAAGUGAAAGCUUGAUUUAGUUUAGCUAUCAGGUCUGGUCAACUCGGUGCCAGCAUCCGCGGUUAAACCGGGGGACCUAGUCAUUUUUUACGGUAAAAAACAGUUAAGAAGUAUAUAGUGUUAGUUAAUUAAUAUUAUAAGGUAAAAUUUGAAUAUUAAAAUAAACCUUCAAAGCAAAAUUCUGAGCUGUGAAAGCCUUGAGGGAAACUGGGAUUAGAUACCCCAUUAUUCAAGGGCAUAAAAGAAUUACCAGGGUACUACGAACUGUGUUUAAAACUCGAAGGGCUUGGCGGUGUUUUAGACCCCCCAGGGGAACCUGUCUCAUAAUCGAUAGUCCACGUAAUACCUGACCCGUUUUUAUGGCUUGUAUACCGUCGUCGUUAGCUAACUUUCAAGAGAAUAAAAGUUGACAGGUAACAUCUAUAGUUUGACGUCAGAUCAAGGUGCAGCUUAUAGCCGGGGCGGGAUGGGUUACAAUUACAAAUUAUAUUACCGAAGUUGUUUGAAAAACUUCUAUAAAGGCGGACUUGGAAGUAAGAAAGAAUAUAAAAACAUUCUGAAUCCGGCUCUGGAAUGUGCACAAAUCGCCCGUCGCUCUCGUUGAAAAAUGAGAUAAGUCGUAACAUAGUAGGGGUAAUGGAAAUUGUUCCUAGAAAAAU
RNAcentral lists this non-coding RNA (844 nucleotides) under Coralliophila richardi. RNAcentral's name for it is "12S ribosomal RNA". It matches the Rfam family "Microsporidia small subunit ribosomal RNA". Lineage: Eukaryota; Metazoa; Mollusca; Gastropoda; Neogastropoda; Muricidae. The record is from RNAcentral.